GACGAACGCUGGCGGCGUGCUUAACACAUGCAAGUCGAACGGAAAGGCCCUGCUUUUGUGGGGUGCUCGAGUGGCGAACGGGUGAGUAACACGUGAGUAACCUGCCCUUGACUUUGGGAUAACUUCAGGAAACUGGGGCUAAUACCGGAUAGGAGCUCCUGCUGCAUGGUGGGGGUUGGAAAGUUUCGGCGGUUGGGGAUGGACUCGCGGCUUAUCAGCUUGUUGGUGGGGUAGUGGCUUACCAAGGCUUUGACGGGUAGCCGGCCUGAGAGGGUGACCGGCCACAUUGGGACUGAGAUACGGCCCAGACUCCUACGGGAGGCAGCAGUGGGGAAUAUUGCACAAUGGAGGGAACUCUGAUGCAGCGACGCCGCGUGAACGAAGAAGGCUUUCGAGUCGUAAAGUUCUUUUAUAUGGGAAGAUAAUGACGGUACCAUAAGAAAAAGCCCCGGCUAACUACGUG
This 463-nucleotide ribosomal RNA is filed under the name uncultured bacterium. RNAcentral's name for it is "partial 16S ribosomal RNA". It matches the Rfam family "Bacterial small subunit ribosomal RNA", at positions 28 to 507 of the family's 1533-position model. The record is from RNAcentral.